GAUGAACGCUGGCGGCGUGCCUAAUACAUGCAAGUCGAGCGAACGGACGAGAAGCUUGCUUCUCUGAUGUUAGCGGCGGACGGGUGAGUAACACGUGGAUAACCUACCUAUAAGACUGGGAUAACUUCGGGAAACCGGAGCUAAUAACGGAUAAUAUUUUGAACCGCAUGGUUCAAAAGUGAAAGACGGUCUUGCUGUCACUUAUAGAUGGAUUCGCGCUGCAUUAGCUAGUUGGUAAGGUAACGGCUUACCAAGGCAACGAUGCAUAGCCGACCUGAGAGGGUGAUCGGCCACACUGGAACUGAGACACGGUCCAGACUCCUACGGGAGGCAGCAGUAGGGAAUCUUCCGCAAUGGGCGAAAGCCUGACGGAGCAACGCCGCGUGAGUGAUGAAGGUCUUCGGAUCGUAAAACUCUGUUAUUAGGGAAGAACAUAUGUGUAAGUAACUGUGCACAUCUUGACGGUACCUAAUCAGAAAGCCACGGCUAACUACGUG
RNAcentral lists this ribosomal RNA (497 nucleotides) under uncultured bacterium. RNAcentral's name for it is "partial 16S ribosomal RNA". It matches the Rfam family "Bacterial small subunit ribosomal RNA", at positions 28 to 507 of the family's 1533-position model. The record is from RNAcentral.